This 218-nucleotide ribosomal RNA is filed under the name uncultured bacterium. Its description in RNAcentral is "partial 16S ribosomal RNA". It matches the Rfam family "Bacterial small subunit ribosomal RNA", at positions 524 to 745 of the family's 1533-position model. The record is from RNAcentral.
UACGGGGGGGGUAAGCGUUGUUCGGAAUUACUGGGCGUAAAGGGCUCGUAGGCGGCCAACUAAGUCAGACGUGAAAUCCCUCAGCUUAACUGGGGAACUGCGUCUGAUACUGGAUGGCUUGGAUUCGGGAGAGGAAUGCGGAAUUCCAGGUGUAGCGGUGAAAUGCGUAGAUAUCUGGAGGAACACCGGUGGCGAAGGCGGAUCUGGCCGAUAUGACG